This 372-nucleotide ribosomal RNA is filed under the name uncultured organism. RNAcentral describes it as "partial 16S ribosomal RNA". It matches the Rfam family "Bacterial small subunit ribosomal RNA", at positions 527 to 896 of the family's 1533-position model. The record is from RNAcentral.
GUAGGUGGCAAGCGUUGUCCGGAAUUAUUGGGCGUAAAGCGCGCGCAGGGCGGUCCUUUAAGUCUGAUGUGAAAGCCCACGGCUCAACCGUGGAGGGUCAUUGGAAACUGGGGGACUUGAGUACAGGAGAGGAAAGCGGAAUUCCAAGUGUAGCGGUGAAAUGCGUAGAGAUUUGGAGGAACACCAGUUGUGAAGGCGGCUUUCUGGUCUGUAACUGACGCUGAGGCGCGAAAGCGUGGGGAGCAAACAGGAUUAGAUACCCUGGUAGUCCACGCCGUAAACGAUGAGUGCUAAGUGUUAGGGGGUUUCCGCCCCUUAGUGCUGCAGCUAACGCAUUAAGCACUCCGCCUGGGGAGUACGGCCGCAAGGCUG